RNAcentral lists this ribosomal RNA (694 nucleotides) under uncultured bacterium. RNAcentral's name for it is "bacterial SSU rRNA". It matches the Rfam family "Bacterial small subunit ribosomal RNA", at positions 32 to 715 of the family's 1533-position model. The record is from RNAcentral.
AACGCUAGCUACAGGCUUAACACAUGCAAGUUGAGGGGCAGCAUGGUCUUAGCUUGCUAAGGCCGAUGGCGACCGGCGCACGGGUGAGUAACACGUAUCCAACCUGCCGUCUACUCUUGGACAGCCUUCUGAAAGGAAGAUUAAUACAAGAUGGCAUCAUGAGUCCGCAUGUUCACAUGAUUAAAGGUAUUCCGGUAGACGAUGGGGAUGCGUUCCAUUAGAUAGUAGGCGGGGUAACGGCCCACCUAGUCUUCGAUGGAUAGGGGUUCUGAGAGGAAGGUCCCCCACAUUGGAACUGAGACACGGUCCAAACUCCUACGGGAGGCAGCAGUGAGGAAUAUUGGUCAAUGGGCGAGAGCCUGAACCAGCCAAGUAGCGUGAAGGAUGACUGCCCUAUGGGUUGUAAACUUCUUUUAUAAAGGAAUAAAGUCGGGUAUGUAUACCCGUUUGCAUGUACUUUAUGAAUAAGGAUCGGCUAACUCCGUGCCAGCAGCCGCGGUAAUACGGAGGAUCCGAGCGUUAUCCGGAUUUAUUGGGUUUAAAGGGAGCGUAGAUGGAUGUUUAAGUCAGUUGUGAAAGUUUGCGGCUCAACCGUAAAAUUGCAGUUGAUACUGGAUAUCUUGAGUGCAGUUGAGGCAGGCGGAAUUCGUGGUGUAGCGGUGAAAUGCUUAGAUAUCACGAAGAACUCCGAUUG